AGCGGCGGACGGGUGAGUAAGGCGUGGGUAACCUGCCUCAUACACAUGGAUAACAUACCGAAAGGUAUGCUAAUACAAGAUGAUAUAAGAGAUUCGCAUGGAUUUCUUAUCAAAGCUCCGGCGGUAUGAGAUGGACCCGCGCCUGAUUAGCUAGUUGGUAAGGUAACGGCUUACCAAGGCGACGAUCAGUAGCCGACCUGAGAGGGUGAUCGGCCACAUUGGAACUGAGACACGGUCCAAACUCCUACGGGAGGCAGCAGUGGGGAAUAUUGCACAAUGGGCGAAAGCCUGAUGCAGCAACGCCGCGUGAGCGAUGAAGGCCUUCGGGCCGUAAAGCUCUGUCCUCAAGGAAGAUAAUGACGGUACUUGAGGAGGAAGCCCCGGCUAACUACGUGCCAGCAGCCGCGGUAAUACGUAGGGGGCUAGCGUUAUCCGGAUUUACUGGGCGUAAAGGGUGCGUAGGUGGUUUCUUAAGUCAGGAGUGAAAGGCUACGGCUCAACCGUAGUAAGCUCUUGAAACUGGGAAACUUGAGUGCAGGAGAGGAAAGUGGAAUUCCUAGUGUAGCGGUGAAAUGCGUAGAUAUUAGGAGGAACACCAGUAGCGAAGGCGGCUUUCUGGACUGUAACUGACACUGAGGCACGAAAAGCGUGUAGAGCAAACAGGAUUAGAUCCAUGGAAUCCCCGUCCUCGAACCUGAGGUACAAGUGG
This 709-nucleotide ribosomal RNA is filed under the name uncultured bacterium. Its description in RNAcentral is "bacterial SSU rRNA". It matches the Rfam family "Bacterial small subunit ribosomal RNA", at positions 94 to 822 of the family's 1533-position model. The record is from RNAcentral.